RNAcentral lists this ribosomal RNA (274 nucleotides) under uncultured bacterium. Its description in RNAcentral is "partial 16S ribosomal RNA". It matches the Rfam family "Bacterial small subunit ribosomal RNA", at positions 523 to 796 of the family's 1533-position model. The record is from RNAcentral.
AUACGGGGGGUGCGAGCGUUAUUCGGAAUUACUGGGCGUAAAGAGCGCGUAGGCGGUCUUUUAAGUCAGGUGUGAAAGCCCGGGGCUCAACCCCGGAAGUGCACUUGAAACUAAGAGACUUGAGUAUGGGAGAGGGAAGUGGAAUUCCUGGUGUAGCGGUGAAAUGCGUAGAUAUCAGGAGGAACAUCAGUGGCGAAGGCGACUUCCUGGACCAAUACUGACGCUGAGGCGCGAAGGCGUGGGGAGCAAACAGGAUUAGAAACCCUAGUAGUCC